AAACAAAAUGAAUUUUCUAUGAAUAUUCAAUUACUCCCCAAAAGAGGCGUGUUUUGAGAAACAGCUGUAUUUACAAAGUGCAACCUAUACAGACAUUUAUUCAAAUAGAAAACUCUCUAAAAUCAGUUUUUCUCACAUUAAUACUCAUUUAUCAGAAUUAAAGUCUUAAAGAAAUCACUGUGUAUACUCUAAGUUUUUCUUUACUAUACAUUUUAUACCCCCUCCCCUGUUUCAAUUUUUUAAAGAAUUUGAAAACAAAACUUUAAUUAUUGCCAGCUUUCCCUAUUUGCAUAUUUUCUGAUAAAAAAUGCCUAGAACCUGUUAGAAACUGUUUUGAUAACAUAUUGAAAGCAUAUCAGAAUAUCAUAAAUGUAAUGUUUAGCAGUCAAUCAUUACAACAUUCAAGAUUAUAUAAAGUAUCCAAUCCAGCCUCUAUCUCCAGUCCACAUCUUACUGUAUGCCUAUUUGUCAAUUAAAGAACACAUUUCUGCCUCAAAAUGGUCAAUUUAGAAUUCUUGUCACAACAGUAUCAUCUUUAACCAUAUAUCUGACACAAUUUAGCUACUAUAUAUACUAGAAGUGUUCAAACAAAGCCAUAUUUGCAAUAGUUGUAUGUAUGCAGAUACCAGUCUGAGAUAUAAAUUCACUUAAAAUGUUGUAGAGAUGACUGCUAACAUUUGAUUUUUGCAUAACUUCCAAGCAUAAUUAUUGUUUUCUAUAUCAAGAACUUUAAAAUCAUAAAAUCAUAGCAUUUACAAGUUAAAUUAUUUGUUUUAUGACCCAGGGGU
This 788-nucleotide long non-coding RNA is filed under the name Mytilus galloprovincialis (Mediterranean mussel). Lineage: Eukaryota; Metazoa; Mollusca; Bivalvia; Mytilida; Mytilidae. The record is from RNAcentral.